ACAAAUUUUAUCAUAAGCUUAUACAUCUUCUAUAUUGAACUUCUAUGUUAUGAUUGUUAGAUGUAUAUCUUAGAAGACAAUAUGAUUGACACAUUAUAAUAAUUUUAGGAUAUAAUUUUAUAUUUAAUAUAAUAAUUUGAUCAAUAAAAAAGGUAAAUUUAUUUAUCAUUCAAGUGUGAUGUGUCCUUAAAUUAUUCAUGAAAUUAAUUUCGAUAUAUAUUCUCAAGGUGUUGAGAAUUGAAGACAUGUAUUUAAUUCCUAAAUGCUCUCGGUUAUAGGAUCAUCAUGAGGAUGGUGAUCAAUCUGGAUAGACUAAUGCACAGAUCGAUUUUUUUGGGAUAGAUGGAUCUCUAAUCUAUAGUGUAGAGACAUUGGACGA
RNAcentral lists this long non-coding RNA (379 nucleotides) under Elaeis guineensis (African oil palm). RNAcentral's name for it is "long non-coding RNA (EGUI_LNC049489)". The record is from RNAcentral. Lineage: Eukaryota; Viridiplantae; Streptophyta; Magnoliopsida; Arecales; Arecaceae.